Long non-coding RNA from Cyprinus carpio carpio, 1038 nucleotides. NCBI's taxonomy places the organism in Eukaryota, Metazoa, Chordata, Actinopteri, Cypriniformes, Cyprinidae. The record is from Ensembl.
CAACAAACUCACACAGAUCACACAAGAAAAAGACACUUCAGGAACAACUCUAACAGUCUCGGUGUAGUUCGCUGAGUACUGAGAAACAGAAGCAGCAAACACAGAUCUCAGAACUGGAGGAGAGUGUGUCUCAUCUGAAAGAGAUGCUAGAAGAAGCCGCCCAGAGAGAGAGGAUACUGGUGGCCUUUCCUGAGCUCAAUCCACAAGCAGCACCACAGAGUAACAUAAACAUACACAUACAAAAGCACAUAGAAUGCUGCUUACUCAUGCAACUACAGUUGGGAAGCAGGUUCUUCUUCAGAACCAGUUACAUGAGCCAGUGGUUAUUUGCACUCUAUCCACAAAUAGUGUUAGAUACUGUUUGCACAAGUGUUAAUAGCAACAGUAGCAUCUUGUUUAUACAGGCAAAUAGUACUAGAUGUUACUCACACAAAGUUUAAAUACAAGUUUAUUAUUUGUACUAAAGGUAAAAUAUCUGAGCAGUGUGGUGGACAGAGUAGGUGAAAAUAUCCUUUGCAAACAGUGUAAACAGACACUUUUCAGCCAGUGUUUGCUGCAAUAGAGUUCAACUGUCAGGUCCUGGGAUGUAAAAAUCCAUUCAUUUUAUCUAUAGAGGAAUUGAUUGUUAAUGAUAACAUAUUAACCUUUAUAUACCUACUGUGGACUACAAGGUUGUCAGCUGCUGGUUUCUGUUGGUCUCCCAAAGCUCUUACAGGGUUUCUGUGGGUUUUAAAAAAAUCUGGCCCUUCCUCAAUUUAAGGCCUUAAAAAUGUUUUAAAUCAGAGGCGAAGUCUUAAAUUCAAAGUCAAGGCAUUAAAAUAGCCCCUAUGAUUUCCGCAAUGCUGACAACGUGAAUGGAAUCACGGAAUCCGGUCAUAAAAAUGGAAUUUACUUUUUAACAUGGAAUGUCAUAGAAUUUGUCAAAUUCUGGAUGAAUAGAUCAAAAGUAGCAAACCACACGUAAUUAAAUUGUGAUAUGGACUAUAGUGUCUAAAUAUUAAACCACACAAAUACUAUUUAAUUAAAUAUGAAUGCUGC